This 1677-nucleotide ribosomal RNA is filed under the name Staphylococcus aureus M0982. RNAcentral's name for it is "bacterial LSU rRNA". It matches the Rfam family "Bacterial large subunit ribosomal RNA", at positions 3 to 1678 of the family's 2925-position model. Lineage: Bacteria; Bacillati; Bacillota; Bacilli; Caryophanales; Staphylococcaceae. The record is from RNAcentral.
UUAAGUUAUUAAGGGCGCACGGUGGAUGCCUUGGCACUAGAAGCCGAUGAAGGACGUUACUAACGACGAUAUGCUUUGGGGAGCUGUAAGUAAGCUUUGAUCCAGAGAUUUCCGAAUGGGGAAACCCAGCAUGAGUUAUGUCAUGUUAUCGAUAUGUGAAUACAUAGCAUAUCAGAAGGCACACCCGGAGAACUGAAACAUCUUAGUACCCGGAGGAAGAGAAAGAAAAUUCGAUUCCCUUAGUAGCGGCGAGCGAAAUGGGAAGAGCCCAAACCAACAAGCUUGCUUGUUGGGGUUGUAGGACACUCUAUACGGAGUUACAAAGGACGACAUUAGACGAAUCAUCUGGAAAGAUGAAUCAAAGAAGGUAAUAAUCCUGUAGUCGAAAAUGUUGUCUCUCUUGAGUGGAUCCUGAGUACGACGGAACACGUGAAAUUCCGUCGGAAUCUGGGAGGACCAUCUCCUAAGGCUAAAUACUCUCUAGUGACCGAUAGUGAACCAGUACCGUGAGGGAAAGGUGAAAAGCACCCCGGAAGGGGAGUGAAAUAGAACCUGAAACCGUGUGCUUACAAGUAGUCAGAGCCCGUUAAUGGGUGAUGGCGUGCCUUUUGUAGAAUGAACCGGCGAGUUACGAUUUGAUGCAAGGUUAAGCAGUAAAUGUGGAGCCGUAGCGAAAGCGAGUCUGAAUAGGGCGUUUAGUAUUUGGUCGUAGACCCGAAACCAGGUGAUCUACCCUUGGUCAGGUUGAAGUUCAGGUAACACUGAAUGGAGGACCGAACCGACUUACGUUGAAAAGUGAGCGGAUGAACUGAGGGUAGCGGAGAAAUUCCAAUCGAACCUGGAGAUAGCUGGUUCUCUCCGAAAUAGCUUUAGGGCUAGCCUCAAGUGAUGAUUAUUGGAGGUAGAGCACUGUUUGGACGAGGGGCCCCUCUCGGGUUACCGAAUUCAGACAAACUCCGAAUGCCAAUUAAUUUAACUUGGGAGUCAGAACAUGGGUGAUAAGGUCCGUGUUCGAAAGGGAAACAGCCCAGACCACCAGCUAAGGUCCCAAAAUAUAUGUUAAGUGGAAAAGGAUGUGGCGUUGCCCAGACAACUAGGAUGUUGGCUUAGAAGCAGCCAUCAUUUAAAGAGUGCGUAAUAGCUCACUAGUCGAGUGACACUGCGCCGAAAAUGUACCGGGGCUAAACAUAUUACCGAAGCUGUGGAUUGUCCUUUGGACAAUGGUAGGAGAGCGUUCUAAGGGCGUUGAAGCAUGAUCGUAAGGACAUGUGGAGCGCUUAGAAGUGAGAAUGCCGGUGUGAGUAGCGAAAGACGGGUGAGAAUCCCGUCCACCGAUUGACUAAGGUUUCCAGAGGAAGGCUCGUCCGCUCUGGGUUAGUCGGGUCCUAAGCUGAGGCCGACAGGCGUAGGCGAUGGAUAACAGGUUGAUAUUCCUGUACCACCUAUAAUCGUUUUAAUCGAUGGGGGGACGCAGUAGGAUAGGCGAAGCGUGCGAUUGGAUUGCACGUCUAAGCAGUAAGGCUGAGUAUUAGGCAAAUCCGGUACUCGUUAAGGCUGAGCUGUGAUGGGGAGAAGACAUUGAGUCUUCGAGUCGUUGAUUUCACACUGCCGAGAAAAGCCUCUAGAUAGAAAAUAGGUGCCCGUACCGCAAACCGACACAGGUAGUCAAGAUGAGAA